Long non-coding RNA from Leopardus geoffroyi (Geoffroy's cat), 535 nucleotides. RefSeq lists it as uncharacterized. The transcript is spliced from 5 exons. The record is from RefSeq and is a predicted model, not a curated record. Lineage: Eukaryota; Metazoa; Chordata; Mammalia; Carnivora; Felidae.
GGGAAGAGCUACCUAGGCGUUCUCUGUCUCUGCACACACAGAGGAAAGGCCAUGUGAGGACACAGAAGACAGCUACCUGCAAACCAGAAAGAGAGGCCCCUUCUUGAAACCAGCCGUGCUGGGAACUUGAUCUUGGGACUUCCAGCCUCCAGAACUGGAUUAUCUCUAAAGUAAGAAGGAAGCUUUUCCCAUAAAUGAUGAGUCCUUGAAUUCCUCCUAAUCAUUGAUCAGAUAGUUUGGAGGGACCUCAAGAGACCCAGUUCUCAAAAAUGGUCUGUAUAAGAAAUACCCACUUGAAUGGCUUAUCUACGUCUGCCGUAAAACUGUAAUUGAAGACUUUUCCACUAUAUUACCCAAUGACCCUUAUGCAAGGGCCCAGAUGAUAAGUUUCUCCUUGUUUCCAGGAAAGAGUGUGCUUCUGCAGAGCUGCUUUCUUGGACAGGACGGGUGCCAUUGGAAGAGGAGUUCCGGCUGGACCACGAGGGGAAUGUGGAACAAAUCCACGCCCUGAGGUCCCAUCGGCUGGGUGCGGAAA